GGGGAUAUAGCUCAGUUGGUAGAGUGCUUGCCUUGCAUGCAGAAGGCCCUGGGUUCAAUCCCCAGCAUGGCUA
Non-coding RNA from Ictidomys tridecemlineatus (thirteen-lined ground squirrel), 73 nucleotides. NCBI's taxonomy places the organism in Eukaryota, Metazoa, Chordata, Mammalia, Rodentia, Sciuridae. The record is from Rfam.